UGUUGAGUUAAACGACGUCGCAGAUUUCGCCGUCUUCGUUGAACGUUCAACGCUCAACGAUUCAUCUGGGGUCGUCCUGUAGUGUUCAUGGUUGUUCCUCUUCCGACGUCGCACUAUUUGGCGUUUCAUUGUAUACUGAUGCUAAAUUGGAGCCCCCAUUUGGACCCCCGGAUUCCUAUCAAUUCGGCCCGAUGUCAACCGGGCCCUGUUGUCAGUCUUUCUCCCUUCACCACCCCCCUCUCAUUUAUAGGGUUUGGGUUAAUGCUUUAAAGCCUCCAAGGCCAACCGAUGUCUCUCUCCAUCGAAGCCUACGCCUCAUUGGCUCUCUCUCUCUCGCUCUCCAACAACUAACUGCAGACUUUCAUGUUUUAGGCAUGAAGAAUCUUCAUCUGCAAUACCUGAGUCUGAGCUUGUAGAAGAUAAAUUUGUGAAGCCUGAACUCAAUCAAAAAGAUUAUCUGAGGGAAGAUUGGCUUUGGAGACUUAAAAAGGUUAUAGAUGCACUUUUGAUGCAGGACCUUGGAUAGUGCCAUGGAUGGCAAAGACCAUAGUUUAGGUGAAGCAGUUUCCUUCUAUGUUACUUGGAUGUUUUGUGAUGCUAUGCAACUCUUAUCUUUUAGUUUCAUGUUUUUUUACUAGUUAAUGUAGAUAUUCCUUUGUAAAUGUUUAUUUUUGAAGCCAAUCCACUGACAACUCAUGCUUGAAUUUCAUAGUUUCCACCAAGUCAAUAAAUCUUUGCUGCUUUCCUUCCCCCACUCUCUCCACCAAUACCUCAUGCUCGAAUUACAUAGAUCCCACCAAGACUAUAAAAUCCCCACUUUCUCCACUGAAAACUCAUGUUUGAAUUUCAUAAUUCCCAACAAGACUAUAAAAUCUUUGCUCUUUUCCUUCCCCCCACUCUCUCUGUUUUCCCUUCCUUUUAUAAUUAGAGGGGCAUCCAUU
Carya illinoinensis is the source of this 941-nucleotide RNA transcript. RefSeq lists it as uncharacterized. Lineage: Eukaryota; Viridiplantae; Streptophyta; Magnoliopsida; Fagales; Juglandaceae. The record is from RefSeq and is a predicted model, not a curated record. The transcript is spliced from 3 exons.